This 1033-nucleotide long non-coding RNA is filed under the name Strigops habroptila (Kakapo). RNAcentral describes it as "lncRNA (ENSSHBG00005012652.1)". The record is from RNAcentral. Lineage: Eukaryota; Metazoa; Chordata; Aves; Psittaciformes; Psittacidae.
AUUUGCUUCCCUUUCUUGUGUAUAUGAGAGAUCCAGCUUUGUAUUGUGGCUUGUAAGGAAGUGUUAGAACAGAUAGUGGUUAACUCUAUCCCUGGGCUAUAACUGGUUUCUCUUUUUGUCACAGCAGAGACACUGCAGAGAGGAUACAGAAGGUGCUAGACAGUCCAGGAACAUUCUUUGACUUGAAGUCUGAUGGAUCAUCCAGUCCCAGCUCCCCAGAGUUCCCCAACAGGAAGAGCAAACACAUCUGAGUGGGGACAUCAAGCCAAUCAGGAGUGGACCGGAUGCUACUCAGUCAUUGGUUGCCUCACUGAAGAUACUGGCAAGACUUUUGGGGUGAAAUGAGAGUCCGGGCUAAGAGGAGCAUGAACUUACUUAGAGGACCUCAAGGACUGUGGAGAGACCAUGUGGCUUCAAGUAACGCUCCACUGGCAGUUCCUGGAGCAGGAAUCCUGGGAAAGGGAGAUGGACAGAUAGCUCCUAUUGGAGCAUUUUGGCUCUAUGCCCUUCCUAUUGCCCCAUCAGCAGCCACUGAAGCAGCCUCUACUAAUGAUGGGGAAAGGAGGCCACCUUGAGUGCCUCCCCUUCUCUUCCCCUCCCCUCACAUGAGUGAGAACAGAACAGCUUGGCCCACAGAAGGCAAGAGAAGAAGACCAUGUUUCCAUCGGUCUCUAGUGCCUUUCAAUGACAUAGGUCAGGAAGUGCAGUGCAGAGAACAAGGAUGGAGAAACCUGCUGAGGAAGGAUGCUGAUAAGGAGAUACUUUGGGGAAAUCUAAGUCCCAGUUCAUUUAAAUUCAUGUUAUUCAUUUGUUCUGCCAAGGGAGAAGCAUGUUGGCCUUCAUUUCCUCCAAAGUAUAUUUCCUAGUCUCCUGAAGAAAUACCUUGGCCUAUAUUGGCCCUAUCUUUACUGUUCUCCCUGUUGCAUGCUGGCAUGUAAUAUGCCUGGGACUUUAGGUUUCAUUACUGCUUGUAGGUCAGACUGGCCAUAUUUUGCAGUGUUUCUGAAGGAAUAAAUAUAUUUAGUAUGUUAAA